Long non-coding RNA from Xiphophorus couchianus (Monterrey platyfish), 760 nucleotides. RefSeq lists it as uncharacterized. NCBI's taxonomy places the organism in Eukaryota, Metazoa, Chordata, Actinopteri, Cyprinodontiformes, Poeciliidae. The transcript is spliced from 5 exons. The record is from RefSeq and is a predicted model, not a curated record.
AAAGCGUGUUCUUGUUGCACUUACUACCAGAUGGUGGCGGUAAUGCGCCCUUAAGUUGUUUGCCAACCGUCAUUAAAAACAGAAAGAAGAAGAAGAAGAACCGCCUCGUUAAGGUAACGCAGAACAGGUGUGCAUAAUCAAGGCGUGCAACGACUGCAGUACAACGUAAGCUGGAGUGCAAUUUUAGAACAGUUCUGAGGAGCCGCCUAAAUAAGCCAUCUUGCCGUUUUUGAAGCCACCGGAAAGCCACCAGUCGGAAGUCGCGAGCACCUUUUUGAAGAGGCCGAGGACGGCAAGUCAGCAGGAGGAAGAUGAAGAGGAGGAGGCUUCACGUCGAAGAUGCCACCGCUCAUAUGUCACAAGGUUGUGAGCUGGUUAGAGAGUGACUACGACAAACUCCGGACCCAACACCUGGGAUCUCUGUCUGGAAAAGUGCAGAUACGAUACUGUCCAGAAGCCUCCAGCUCCGAAGCCUCUGUUGGCGGACCAAGCUUCAAGUGGAAUAAAGGUGCAUCAUGAUUUGAAUCGCCAUUCUGCCAAACCCCCAGACCUCCGUGCCUCCUCCUGGGUGACAUUUCAGACGGGCCCCGAGGGCGACUGGAGGGAAGACAUUGAACAAGCUCUUCUCUGUACAGCCGUAAUGCUGCAUUCAGGUCAGACCUGGAAGUUUGAUUUCUCUACUUCCCAGAGGGAAAUGCAACAAGAAUGGCCAAAGAAGUUGUGAAUUCAGACUGAGCAGGUCAAAAGUUACCAAUCAGCC